This 74-nucleotide small RNA is filed under the name Roseomonas sp. CECT 9278. RNAcentral describes it as "suhB". It matches the Rfam family "Makes More Granules Regulator RNA (mmgR)". From Rfam's summary of the family: SuhB later renamed mmgR (makes more granules regulator) was a putative non-coding RNA found multiple times in the Agrobacterium tumefaciens genome and related alpha-proteobacteria. Lineage: Bacteria; Pseudomonadati; Pseudomonadota; Alphaproteobacteria; Acetobacterales; Roseomonadaceae. The record is from RNAcentral.
UCCCUCUGCUUUUCUUGGACGUUUCCUCCCUAAACUUGGCGGUGCCUUCGGGCACCGCCUUCUUUUUUUCCGGG